This 1092-nucleotide ribosomal RNA is filed under the name Triticum aestivum (bread wheat). RNAcentral's name for it is "partial small subunit ribosomal RNA". The record is from RNAcentral. Lineage: Eukaryota; Viridiplantae; Streptophyta; Magnoliopsida; Poales; Poaceae.
AUGACUCACUUCCCCGCCAAGUUCGCCGGCGUCACCAUCACUCUCCUCCGUCCGGAGGAGACCGACAAUCGGGCCACCACGCGCUACGACCACUUGGUGGAGAUCGAGGCCAAGAACUACCCGCUCGAGCUGUGGCACCCCCAAGGCGCCAACUUCGUGUUCGGCCACUUUGGGGUGCUCUGCUGCGUCGACAGCCGCUGCCUCAACUCCGGCGACUUCACGACGAUGCACGCCUUUCUCCGCGUUGAGAGUGACCAUGUCACCCCGGAUGGGUUCAUCCUUCGCCUUCCGCCAGCCCAAAUCGUCGACGUCAAGCUCCGUAUUGUCAAGACUUGGGCCGUCUUUGAGGACCUCACCAUCCCCCUCGACCAUGACGUGGACGGCAACGGCAGUGAAGCUCACGUCCACGGUGCCUGGCGGUGGAACUGCAGCCAUGUUGGGCCUUGCUCUGGCCCACAUGCUGCAGUUUCCAUGCAGCCACCAACACCAACUGCUGGGCCGUCCUCGCCUCCUCAAGCUCAAGCCACGCAAGCCCCUCGCAACUUUCUCCCACCUCUCAUCGGCGGUCCUCUGUUGCCACCGGCUGCGGCCCCUGCUGAUGCGCUCGUGCUGUCCGACAGCAGUGAGGGCACUGAGGGCGCCGCCCAGGACUCUGACCUCUCUGACACCUUCACGCCAUCGGUUGAUGUCUCCAACUCCUUCUCCGCGCUCGAUUUAGAUGGUGGUGAGACCUCGCUUCUCUCGGUCAAGGAUUCUACCUCGCUUGGGUCUGAAGCGCAUGAGGCCACGAUGCGUCGUAAACUGGCUGCUAACAAGAGGGCCACCGACGCCGCCAAGCUUCGCCGCAUCCAUCGCCUCGCUGACAAAGGGGAUGGUCAGUUCAUGGACAUGACCACGAAGGCCAUGCGUGUCAAGGCUCGUCGCUUCGACCUGCAGCACGCCUCUCACGACCUCGUCGAAGCCCUGGAUACCUCUGGACUCACUAGCGCUCCUGAGGACCCGGUGCUGGACUCCGAUGCCCUUGCUCUCAUUGCCAAGCUCUGUGGCGCUGAACCGGUGGAGGUUCAGGAGGUGUCCUCGCCGGCGCCGUGA